Dreissena polymorpha is the source of this 7314-nucleotide long non-coding RNA. RefSeq lists it as uncharacterized. The transcript is spliced from 3 exons. The record is from RefSeq and is a predicted model, not a curated record. Lineage: Eukaryota; Metazoa; Mollusca; Bivalvia; Myida; Dreissenidae.
AAUAUCAUGUCAAAAUUUUAUUCUGGAUCAUGGGAAUUCAAAAAUUAGGUCACAAUGUCAAAUCUUAGAGAACCCUUUUGCCUUUUUAGAAGCUGAAUUUAAGAUUUGAUCUUUUAAGAAACUUGGUCAUAAUGGUUAUCUUGGCAUUAUCUAGGCUGAUUAAAAAUAUGGGCCACAUACGUACUUAAGUAAGGUUAGCAGAUCAAAGCCUAGAAAUAGCUUGUUAACAUUCUGGAAGACUCACACUUUAUGACUAAUUAUUGAUGAAUAAUUGUAAGAAUGUUUUUCUCAACAAUCUCUUGGCCGUUUGAAUCUGCAUCAUGUGUAUCCAUAAACAAGGUAAAAUGUAUUGAAAACUGUCUUAACCACUAUAGAGACCAUUAAGUGCUCAUUCUUGAUGAAACCUGUGGGGUCACAUGGAUGUAAAAUUUAGGUCACCAGUUCAUUUCUUAGAAAAAAAACAUAUUACAUCUACAGAAGCUACUUUUUUACACAAUCUUGAUAAAACAUGGUCGAAAUGUUCAUUAAGGCAAUAUCAAGGCCAUGUUUGAGUAUGGGUUAAGUUUCGAAAAAAAAUUAGGUCAUUAAGUCAAGUCUUCAAUUAUCUGUGUACUUUGACCUUAGUUAGGAGCAUAAGGGCCAUUAAUGUCCUUUUGUUGUAAGCAUGCUUUUGUUUGCCAGUAUUUAAUUAAAUGUUGCUCAGAAGUAGACGUUUUCUUAGAAAUAGUAUGUUGUCUUUAAAAAAAACAUGAAAUUCUGUUUAUUAUGUUGAAUCAUAAAUAAGAGUGGUUUUUUAUUGAUGAAUGUUUUCAGUGACAAGUGAAUUCACUUGUUAUUUUAGUCUUGAGAGGAAACAAUUUUCAUUAGUUUCUUAAUAUGUUUUAAAUUAUUAAAUACAAAUAUUUUAAAACUAUACUUUUUUAUGCUCCCAUAAAAUUUAUUUUGGGGGGAGCAUUAAUAGUUGCCACUUCAUCUGUCCGUCCGUGUGUCUGUUUGUGCAAAAUUUUUGUCUGGGCUAUUUCUCAGCAACUAAUGACCGGAAUUCAAUGAAACUUUAUGAGAAGCUUCACUGCCAAGAGGAGAUGUGCAUAUUAUCAGGGGGUUUUGGUCGGAUGAUUUUUCACAGAGAUAUGGCCCUUUGAAGAAUUCUAUAAAAAAAUUCUUGUCCCCCCAAGGACUGUGCUCUCAAGACGUUUCCUUUAAUCUUAAUAUAUAGUGCAAUAUUGUGACAAAAAAAACUUUGGGGAGCAUCACCUGUCUCCAACGGUUUCUUGUUUAAACAUAUUUUUCAAUACAUAGGCAGAUAAUGUCAUAAUUUUUCUAUAACAUUUUAUGUAAAUUGUACAUACCAAUUAUGAUUUGGUCUUUUAGCACAAUAUUUAUUAAAUUUUGUAUUAUUAUAAAAGAUAGUUUGUCAAUAUAUAGUUUUCUAGUGUAUUGUCAGAAUUUAAUUGGCAAACUAAAUCAUUAAAAAAUUUCUUAAAUCUUACAAAAUAAAUCUUAAUUUAAAUAUCUGCAUGUAAUAUGUUUGUAAGUCUAGUAUAAAUAAUGUAAUAUAUGUUAUUUCUCUUUAUUGUAUUUAACAGUAUGUUAAUGUUUUCUUUUGGUUUAAAAAAACAUAAUUAUAACAAAAUUGCUUAUUGUUUAAUCUUUUAUUAAGACACAUAAUAUUACAGGGAUUCACAUUUAUAAAUGUUGAUUACUUGUUACUAAGUUGACAUCUUUAUAACAAGCUAAGACACACAUGACAGUUCACACUGACCAGGGAGUGUUUGAGUUGUCUAGACCUUAGAUCAUGUAUCAUGUACAACUGUCAAUAUUACUGCAACUUCUUGAUGUCAGUUACAUUUGUUUGCUAUAUAUGAGUCACAGUCUAGGAAAAAGGGAUUAGAUCAUGUCCGUAAAGUUUCGUCCCAGAUAAGCAUGUGCAGACUGCAGAGGCUUAUUAUGGACAACACUUUCUGCUAAAACUGGUUUUUGGUUUAGCGGACAUUUUCUUUAAACAACAAAUGCCAUAAAAGCAGGAAAGUGUCCUCUCUGAUUAGCCUGUGCAAAGUGAAAGGCUAAUCUGGAAUGAACUUUAAGCAACUUUUAUGUAUAUCAUGUUAUGUAUUUUUGUGUUUUCACUAACAAGCUUUUGCAAUCGCCUCAAGCGAAAUUGCAGGCCGAAAAAUAGUUAAUGACCAAAAGAUUAUUAAAUUAAAAUUACACAGCAAUUUUAUUCUUAUACUCAUGUUUACAUUGUAUAUUCUUUAUAAAUCUGUGUUCAUUUGGUUUACAUAUCAAUCGUAAUUUGAAUUCUUAAAGUUGAACAUUUAUUUCUUUUAUAAUUGCAUUCAUCAAUAUUUUAUUUUAGCAAACAUACAUUUAUGUAGAAUGGCUGGUGUUAACAUUCACAUUGUUGAUUAAUUGUACCAUCUAAUGGAGAAGUCAUAAAGCAUGGGUUAAGACUCUUAUCUAAAGCAGUUGUGUGCAUUGAAUAUGAACAUCAAAAGGAACAUAUCUAUUUAUAAUUGUGUCGCGUUCUGAGAAAAGUGGGCUUAAUGCGUGUGCGUAAAGUUUUGUCCCAGAUUAUCCAGUGCAGUCCGCCUAAACUUGAUUUUCAGUAAGGAGGGACUUCCUUGAAACUAAAAAUACCAUAAAAGAGGAAAGUGUCGUCCCUGAUUAGCCUGUGCAGACUGCACAGGCUAAUCUGGGACGACACUUUACGCACAGGCAUUAUGCCCAGUUUUCUCAGAACGCGACACAAUUAUACAUUGUUAUAUGGCCAUCACCUAUAGGACGAUAAAACAGUACAAUCUAAGGACUUCAGUGGCCUAUUCAGUAUGUAAAACAGAAGAAUGCACACUGCUAACAUUUAGGUACUAAGGUUACUAUAUUUAUUUAUGACCAAAUCUAUUAUUUAUUAUUUAAUACAAUAAUUAAAGAUUGAUCAUGAUUAUUGUUUUUAAUAUCCUUCCAAUAUUUAAUGUUUUUUCCAGCAGUUAUGUUAAAGUUAAAAGUAUAAGAAUGAUUUACAUAUUUACUUGUUGUACUAAGAUUGAGCUCUUUAACAUGUUGCUCUCGGUCAUUGUAAAUUAAAUGAAAUAACUGUGUUUCUAGCUCGGGUGUUUUUGGACAAAACCCGAUGUAUUGUCAUAGCCAGCUCAUUGUGUCGCCAGCCGUCCGUGUUGUGCGAAAACCUUUACAUUUUGCUCUAAAAUCAAAGUGCUUCCACCUACAACUUUGAAACUUCAUAUGUACAUGCACCUUGAUGAGUUCUACAUGCCACACCCAUUUUGGAGUCUCUAGGUCAAAUGUAUAAAAAAAUCUGACAAGCUUUCAUUUAUUCAAAACUGCACCCGCAGCCGAGUGUUGGCACCUGUUAUGCGGCGCUCUUGUUUAAGGAAUCAAUUUCCUUUCGGAGUUACCCGGGAAUGGUGUUCCUUGUAAUUUUAUACAAACUUUCAUGAGGAUUAACAAAUUACAUGUUUCAUUAACAUGCUUAUUGGGAAAUGGCUUUAACACAAAUAUACAUCAGAAAAAUGAAACCUCAGCUUAUAAAGUUUUUAAAUGUAAAAGCUUUAAAUUGUCAUGUCUUUUCUGACACAAAUUCACAAAUCUAUACAAGUAGAGUACCGCUUUACUUCAAUUGAACUGGAGUAAAAGUUCAUAUGUUUGAAUUAAAACUUUAAUAGGAUACACACUAAGUGGGAAUAGCGUUUUUAAGCCUUAUUAAAUACAAAUAAUUAAAGUUGCUUUUAUGCUAAUCAAAUAUUUUAGUUUUUGGAAAUGGAUACUUGUUGAAAAAAGUAACACAAAUGCAUUUAUUGUAAUUUGUUAAAAGUUCCAUCUAAGAGAGUUUGAAAAUGUUGUUUGUUGUUUUUAGCUCACCUGAGCACAACGUGCUCAUGGUGAGCUUUUGUGAUGGCUUUUUGUCCAUCGUGUGUCGUCUGUCGUGCAUCGUCCGUCGUCAACAUUUUGCCUUGUGAACACUCUAGAGGCCACAUUUAUUGUCUGAUCUUCAUGAAAUUUGGUCAGAACAUUUGUUCCAUUGAUACCUCGACUGAGUUCGAAACUGGGUCGUGCUGGGUCAAAAACUAGGUCACUAGGUAAAAAAAAAGAAAAACCUUGUGAACACUGUAGAAGUCACAUUUGAUGCCCAAUCGUCAUGUAACUUUGUCAAAAUGUUUCUCUAAAUGAUACGUUGGUUGAGUUCAAAAAUGAUUCGGUCCGUUGAAAAACAUGGCCGCCAGAGGGCGGGGAAGUAUUCCUUAUAUGGCUAAAGAGACACCUUGUGAACACUCUAGAAGUCACAAUUUUUGCCCAAUCAUCAUGAAACUUGGUCAAAACAUUGGUUUCAUUGAUAUCUUGGACGAUUUUGAAAAUGGUCCAGAUCGGUGAAAAACAUGGCCGCCAGGGGGUGGGGCAGUUUUCCUUAUAUGGCUGUAGUAAAACCUUGUUAACACUCUAGAAGCCACAUUUAUUGUCCAUUUAUCUUCAUGAAAUUUGAUCGGUAGAUUGGUCUCAGUUUGCUUGAAAACCUGGCUGCCAAGGGGGGGGGGCAUUUUUCCUUAUAUGUCUAUAUAUGGCUAUAGUAAAACCUUGUGAACACUCUAGAGGCUACAUUUAUUGCCCAAUCUUCAUGAAAUUUGGUCAGAAAAUUGGUCUCAAUGAAAUCUUGGAUGAUUUCAAAAAUGGUAACAUUUGCUUGAAAAACAUGGCUUCCAAGGGCCGGGGCAUUUUUCCUUAUAUGGCUAUACAUGUAUAUGGCUAUAGUAAAAUCUUGUUAACACUCUAGAGGCCACAUUAGUUUGUCCCAUCUUCAUGAAACUUGGUCAGAAUAUUCACCCCAAUAAUAUCUUGGAUGAGUUUAAAAAUGAUGCUGGUUGGUUGAAAAACAUGGCUGCCAGGGGGCGGGGCAUUUUUCGAAAAUGGUCCAGAUCGGUGAAAAAACAUGGCCGCCAGGGGGUGGGGCAGUUUUCCUUAUAUGGCUAUAGUAAAACCUUGUUAACACUCUAGAGGCCACAUUUAUUGUCCAAUCUUCAUGAAAUUUGAUCGGAAGAUUGGUCUCAGUUUGCUUGAACAACCUGGCUGCCAAGGGGAGGGGGCAUUUUUCCUUAUAUGGCUAUAGUAAAACCUUGUGAACACUCUAGAGGCCACAUUUAUUGUCCAAUCUUCAUGAAAUUUGGUCAGAAAAUUGGUCUCAAUGAUAUCUUGGAUGAUUUCGAAAAUGGUUACGUUUGCUUGAAAAACAUGGCUGCCAAGGGGCGGGGCAUUUUUCCUUAUAUGGCUAUACAUGUAUAUGGCUAUAGUAAAUCUUGUUUACACUCUAGAGGCCACAUGUGUUUGUCCGAUCAUCAUGAAACUUGGUCAGAAUAUUCACCCCAAUAAUAUCUUGGAUGAGUUCAAAAAUGAUGCUGGUUGUUUGAAAAACAUGGCUGCCAGGGGGCGGGGCAUUUUUCCUUAUCUUCAUGAAACUUGGUCAGAAGAUUUGUCCUAAUGAUAUCUUGGAUGAGUUUGAAAAUGGUAUCAGUUGCUUAAAAAACAUGGCCACCAGGGGCUGGGCAUUUUUCCUAAUAUGGCUAUAUAUCAUGCUUUAGUAAAACCUUGUUAACACUCUAGAGGCCACAUUUAUUGUCCGAUCAUCAUGAAACUUGGUCAGAUAAUUUGUCCCAAUAAUAUCUUGGAUGAGUUCGAAAAUGGAACCGGUUGGUGGAAAAACAUGGCCGCCAAAGGGGCGUGGCAUUUUUCCUUAUAUAGCUAUAUUUAAACCUUGUGAACACUCUAGAAGCCAUAUUUAUUGUACGAUCAUCAUGAAACUUUUUCAGAAGAUUUGUCCCAAUGAUAUUUUUGACAGAUUUGAAAGUGGUUCCAGUUGCUUGUAAAACAUGGCCACCAGUGGACCGGGCAUUUUCACUUAUAUGGACUUAUGAAUCUUCAUGAAACUUUGUCAGUUUAUUUGUUUUAAUGAUAUCUUGGAUGUGUAUGAAAAUGGUUCUGGUCUGUUGAAAAACUUGGCUGCCAGGGUGUUCACUAGUCAUGAAAAUUGGUAAGAACAUAUUGUUCUAAUGACAUCUCGGGCUGCACAGAACAGGUCAGUUCCUUUGAAUCUCAGGUGAGCGACUUUGGGCCUUUCAGGCCCUCUUGUUAAAAGUAUUGUCUUCUAAAGUUUGCCAUUCAAUAUGUUAAAGUUCUGCUAUUGAGACUAAGGGAUAAUUGCCCAGAGUUAGGGUGGUGGGCCAACCAAUUCUUUGAAAAUAAUGUUCUUUGACCAGAUUCAAACUUUACUAUAUUUAGUUGUUUAAACAUAUAACAUACAUUUAUUGAUGCUAGUAACCAACAGAAAAUACUCAUUAAAUGUAUAUGUUUAUUGGUUGAAGCCUUUCAACUUUUCACACUGCUGAUGGGCAAUGGAUGGGAAUGAUUGCUAACCAAUUAGGGACAGGGUGCAUAACUUUGCUAUUUGACAUUUGAUCUUUUCUUUUUCAUUAAAUCUAAAAUGGUGAUGGCCAUUAUUGAGUUUUGCUUUUCUUCUGUGUUUUGACAGUGAAAUGUCUUGGUAUAUAGAGCCACAUACUGAAAACUUAGUUUCCAAAUGUACCAAGUUCUAGUCAUGAAAUAAUAGUUAUCAUGUUGUCUCUGAAAAAUAUUUUAGAGUCUGAAAUAUUUGUGAAUUUUUUUUGUUAUGAGUAUUUGUUGAACUUGUCAUGCAUGUUUAUUGAAAUAUAUAUUAGUGUUCAUUUUUAGCUUGGCUGUUUUCGGAGAAAACCCGAGGUAUUGUUAUAGCCAGCUCGUCGUCCGCCGUCAGCCGUAGGCGUCGUGCUAAAACCUUAACAUUGGCUCUAAAAUCAAAGUGCUUCCACCUUCAACUUUGAAACUUCAUAUGUAGAUGCACCUUGAUGAGUUCUACACGCCACACCCAAUUUUGGGUCACUAGGUCAAAGGUCAAGGUCACUGUGACCUCUAAUAUAAAACUUAAAUGUAGGCUCUAAAGUCAAAGUGCUUCCACCUACAAUUUUGAAACUUCAUAUGUAGAUGCACCUUGAUGAGUUCUACACGCCACUCCCAUUUUUGGGUCACUAGGUCAAAGGUCAAGGUCACUGUUACCUCUAAAAAAAAAUCUGAAAAGCUUUCGCAGCCGAGCUUGGUACCCGUUAUGCGGUGCUCUUGUUGCUUCUUUAUAGUUGUAAUAGCUGUUUUUUGUCGGUUCACAUAAAGUUAUAUGUUGUUAUCAAUAUUUUGUGCUAUUUUAUAUUAUAUAUACAACGUAGUCAGCAUUUAGUGUUAAUGUUAAAAGUGUUUUUGUUGGAAAAUAAAAUGGCUUAAAACGUG